ACGGCAACGGGUGCGGAACACGUACACAACCUCCCUUUAAGUGGGGAAUAGCCCGGGGAAACCCGGAUUAAUACCCCGUAACAUAAUGAAGUGGCAUCGCUUUAUUAUUAUAGCUACGGCGCUUUAAGAUGGGUGUGCGACUGAUUAGGCAGUUGGCGGGGUAACGGCCCACCAAACCUACGAUCAGUAACUGGUGUGAGAGCACGACCAGUCACACGGGCACUGAGACACGGGCCCGACUCCUACGGGAGGCAGCAGUAAGGAAUAUUGGUCAAUGGACGCAAGUCUGAACC
RNAcentral lists this ribosomal RNA (293 nucleotides) under uncultured Flavisolibacter sp. RNAcentral describes it as "partial 16S ribosomal RNA". It matches the Rfam family "Bacterial small subunit ribosomal RNA", at positions 95 to 389 of the family's 1533-position model. The record is from RNAcentral. Lineage: Bacteria; Pseudomonadati; Bacteroidota; Chitinophagia; Chitinophagales; Chitinophagaceae.